Molecule: non-coding RNA, 102 nt
Organism: Mycena rosella
Lineage: Eukaryota; Fungi; Basidiomycota; Agaricomycetes; Agaricales; Mycenaceae
Source: the annotation of a GenBank genome assembly
GUCUGCGUCGAUUAGUGGUUAAAUCACCUCGUUGUGGUGGGGUAGCUCGAACACGUGAUUACGUAAGCCGAGGAGCCGGGUGUUCGAUCCACCCCGCGGACA